GACGAACGCUGGCGGCGUGCCUAAUACAUGCAAGUCGAGCGGACUUGAUGAAGUGCUUGCACUUCUGAUGGUUAGCGGCGGACGGGUGAGUAACACGUAGGUAACCUGCCUAUAAGACUGGGAUAACAUUCGGAAACGAAUGCUAAUACCGGAUACGCGAAUUGGUCGCAUGGCCGAAUCGGGAAAGACGGAGCAAUCUGUCACUUAUAGAUGGACCUGCGGCGCAUUAGCUAGUUGGUGAGGUAACGGCUCACCAAGGCGACGAUGCGUAGCCGACCUGAGAGGGUGGUCGGCCACACUGGGACUGAGACACGGCCCAGACUCCCACGGGAGGCAGCAGUAGGGAAUCUUCCGCAAUGGACGUAAGUCUGACGGAGCAACGCCGCGUGAGUGAUGAAGGUUUUCGGAUCGUAAAGCUCUGUUGCCAGGGAAGAACGCUUGGGAGAGUAACUGCUCUCAAGGUGACGGUACCUGAGAAGAAAGCCCCGGCUAACUACGUGCCAGCCGCCGCCGUAA
Molecule: ribosomal RNA, 516 nt
Filed under: uncultured bacterium
Lineage: Bacteria
Description: partial 16S ribosomal RNA
Rfam family: Bacterial small subunit ribosomal RNA
Source: RNAcentral